UGACCUGAUGCCCUCUCUUCUCUGGAUCC
RNAcentral lists this non-coding RNA (29 nucleotides) under Rattus norvegicus (Norway rat). Lineage: Eukaryota; Metazoa; Chordata; Mammalia; Rodentia; Muridae. The record is from RNAcentral.